UACGUAGGGGGCGAGCGUUGUCCGGAUUUAUUGGGCGUAAAGAGCUCGUAGGUGGUUUGGUAAGUCGGAUGUGAAAUCUCCAGGCUCAACCUGGAGGGGUCAUUCGAUACUGCCAUGACUAGAGUUCGGUAGGGGAGUGUGGAAUUCCUGGUGGAGCGGUGAAAUGCGCAGAUAUCAGGAGGAACACCCGUAGCGAAGGCGGCACUCUGGGCCGAUACUGACACUGAGGAGCGAAAGCGUGGGGAGCAAACAGG
This 254-nucleotide ribosomal RNA is filed under the name uncultured bacterium. RNAcentral describes it as "partial 16S ribosomal RNA". It matches the Rfam family "Bacterial small subunit ribosomal RNA", at positions 524 to 776 of the family's 1533-position model. The record is from RNAcentral.